This 588-nucleotide ribosomal RNA is filed under the name uncultured bacterium. RNAcentral describes it as "partial 16S ribosomal RNA". It matches the Rfam family "Bacterial small subunit ribosomal RNA", at positions 355 to 937 of the family's 1533-position model. The record is from RNAcentral.
UGGGGAAUUUUGGACAAUGGGCGAAAGCCUGAUCCAGCAAUGCCGCGUGUGUGAAGAAGGCCUUCGGGUUGUAAAGCACUUUUGUCCGGAAAGAAAUGGCUCUGGUUAAUACCUGGGGUCGAUGACGGUACCGGAAGAAUAAGGACCGGCUAACUACGUGCCAGCAGCCGCGGUAAUACGUAGGGUCCAAGCGUUAAUCGGAAUUACUGGGCGUAAAGCGUGCGCAGGCGGUUGUGCAAGACCGAUGUGAAAUCCCCGAGCUUAACUUGGGAAUUGCAUUGGUGACUGCACGGCUAGAGUGUGUCAGAGGGGGGUAGAAUUCCACGUGUAGCAGUGAAAAUGCGUAGAGAUGUGGAGGAAUACCGAUGGCGAAGGCAGCCCCCUGGGAUAACACUGACGCUCAUGCACGAAAGCGUGGGGAGCAAACAGGAUUAGAUACCCUGGUAGUCCACGCCCUAAAACGAUGUCAACUAGUUGUUGGGGAUUCAUUUCCUUAGUAACGUAGCUAACGCGUGAAGUUGACCGCCUGGGGAGUACGGUCGCAAAGAUUAAAACUCAAAAUGAAUUGACGGGGUCAUAGCUGUUUCC